UAAAAAAUAUAAGUAUGUCUCCUGUCAUAUUUAGGAUAUACUUAUAUUAAAA
This 52-nucleotide microRNA precursor is filed under the name Marmota monax (woodchuck). The record is from RNAcentral. Lineage: Eukaryota; Metazoa; Chordata; Mammalia; Rodentia; Sciuridae.